AGAGUUUGAUCAUGGCUCAGGAUGAACGCUAGCGGCAGGCUUAACACAUGCAAGUCGAGGGGUAUAGGUUUUCGGACCUAGAGACCGGCGCACGGGUGCGUAACGCGUAUGCAAUCUACCUUUUACAGAGGGAUAGCCCAGAGAAAUUUGGAUUAAUACCUCAUAGUAUAGCUGAACCGCAUGGUUCUACUAUUAAAGUCACAACGGUAAAAGAUGAGCAUGCGUCCCAUUAGCUUGUUGGUAAGGUAACGGCUUACCAAGGCUACGAUGGGUAGGGGUCCUGAGAGGGAGAUCCCCCACACUGGUACUGAGACACGGACCAGACUCCUACGGGAGGCAGCAGUGAGGAAUAUUGGUCAAUGGACGCAAGUCUGAACCAGCCAUGCCGCGUGCAGGAUGACGGUCCUAUGGAUUGUAAACUGCUUUUGCACAGGAAGAAACAACUCUACGUGUAGAGUCUUGACGGUACUGUGAGAAUAAGGAUCGGCUAACUCCGUGCCAGCAGCCGCGGUAAUACGGAGGAUCCAAGCGUUAUCCGGAAUCAUUGGGUUUAAAGGGUCCGUAGGCGGUUUAGUAAGUCAGUGGUGAAAGCCCAUCGCUCAACGGUGGAACGGCCAUUGAUACUGCUAGACUUGAAUUAUUAGGAAGUAACUAGAAUAUGUAGUGUAGCGGUGAAAUGCUUAGAGAUUACAUGGAAUACCAAUUGCGAAGGCAGGUUACUACUAAUGGAUUGACGCUGAUGGACGAAAGCGUGGGUAGCGAACAGGAUUAGAUACCCUGGUAGUCCACGCCGUAAACGAUGGAUACUAGCUGUUGGAAGCAAUUUCAGUGGCUAAGCGAAAGUGAUAAGUAUCCCACCUGGGGAGUACGUUCGCAAGAAUGAAACUCAAAGGAAUUGACGGGGGCCCGCACAAGCGGUGGAGCGUGUGGUUUAAUUCGAUGAUACGCGAGGAACCUUACCAAGGCUUAAAUGUAGAUUGACCGGUUUGGAAACAGACUUUUCGCAAGACAAUUUACAAGGUGCUGCAUGGUUGUCGUCAGCUCGUGCCGUGAGGUGUCAGGUUAAGUCCUAUAACGAGCGCAACCCCUGUUGUUAGUUGCCAGCGAGUCAUGUCGGGAACUCUAACAAGACUGCCAGUGUAAACUGUGAGGAAGGUGGGGAUGACGUCAAAUCAUCACGGCCCUUACGCCUUGGGCUACACACGUGCUACAAUGGCCGGUACAGAGAGCAGCCACUGGGCGACCAGGAGCGAAUCUACAAAACCGGUCACAGUUCGGAUCGGAGUCUGCAACUCGACUCCGUGAAGCUGGAAUCGCUAGUAAUCGGAUAUCAGCCAUGAUCCGGUGAAUACGUUCCCGGGCCUUGUACACACCGCCCGUCAAGCCAUGGAAGCUGGGGGUGCCUGAAGUCGGUGACCGCAAGGAGCUGCCUAGGGUAAAACUGGUAACUAGGGCUAAGUCGUAACAAGGUA
This 1472-nucleotide ribosomal RNA is filed under the name metagenome. Its description in RNAcentral is "bacterial SSU rRNA". It matches the Rfam family "Bacterial small subunit ribosomal RNA". The record is from RNAcentral.